AAGGGGGGGUGGAUGGCAGCAGAAGGAGCUACUCCCCGGCCACUGCACGGUGACCAGAGCAGCCCGCGAUCAGAGCUCUCAACCCGCUUCGUUCCGGGCUUCCUCUUCUGUUCCCUCCUCUUUUUGCAGCGACACCCCCAGGGUCUCUCCGUAGAGCCUUCGAGAGCCCACGGUGGCCCGGGGCGCCGCGCCCUGACCCGUGCUCUAGGGUCGUGGAGGACGGCGCCCCAUCUGUGGAGACUGCGGCGCUAAGCCUCAAGUACCCCAAGGACGCUGAGGAAUAGAGAAAUGCGAGCCAGAGCAACUCCCGCCCCCCAGGAGCCGGGAACAAAGACCCCUUUGUUCGAGCUCUGUCCCUCUCCCGGGAGACCAGAGUCCCGUGGGUGUGGUGUCGUGGAGGGGAGGAGACAGGUCACCGCAGAGUCUUAAGGUUCCCUUGGCUUAAAUAUAUGUGAUCUGCGUUCAAGAUAAAUUUUUAAAAUAAGAUUCAGAGUUUGUCUUGAAAGUUAUACCUGGUCUGGGAAGAGGACUCAGCAAGCAUUGCACUUUCUGUGUGGAGUGACACUAUUAGGAGAUAUGUCCUUGUUGGAAUAGGUGUGGCCUUGUUGGAGGAAGUAUGUCACUGUGGAGGUGAGCUUUGAGGUCCUAUACUCAAGUUCCACACAGUGCAGAAGAGACAUUCUCCUCCUGUUUGCCUUCAGAUCAAGAUGCAGAAUUUCCACCUCCUCCUCCAGCAGUACAUUUGCCUGAAUACUGCCAUGCUUCCUGCCAUGAUGAUGAUGGACAGAACCUCUGAAACUACAAGCCAACCAUAAUUAAACACUGACCUUUAUAUGAGUUGCCUUGGUCAUGGUGUGUCUUCACAGCCAUAAAACCCUAAGACACUG
This is a long non-coding RNA of Grammomys surdaster, 887 nucleotides long. RefSeq lists it as uncharacterized. Lineage: Eukaryota; Metazoa; Chordata; Mammalia; Rodentia; Muridae. The record is from RefSeq and is a predicted model, not a curated record. The transcript has 3 exons.